This 259-nucleotide unclassified non-coding RNA is filed under the name Ascomycota sp. RNAcentral describes it as "partial contains small subunit ribosomal RNA, internal transcribed spacer 1, and 5.8S ribosomal RNA". The stretch from base 1 to 47 matches the Rfam family "Eukaryotic small subunit ribosomal RNA", at positions 1785 to 1831 of the family's 1831-position model. Lineage: Eukaryota; Fungi; Ascomycota. The record is from RNAcentral.
AAAGUCGUAACAAGGUUUCCGUAGGUGAACCUGCGGAAGGAUCAUUAUCGUGGGGCUUCGGCCCCGUCGAGAUAGCACCCUUGCCUUUAUGAGUACCUUGGUUCCCUCCCCCGUACCUUCGGGGAGCGGGAGGGACCUCGUCUGCUUCCCCGCGGCGGCGAGAGCCCCCCGGGGACCGCGAAACACGCUGUAAACGCCUGUAACCGUCUGAUAAACAAACAAAAAAUCAAAACUUUCAACAACGGAUCUCUUGGUUCUG